ACGAACGCUGGCGGCGUGCUUAACACAUGCAAGUCGAACGGAAAGGCCCCUUUGGGGGUACUCGAGUGGCGAACGGGUGAGUAACACGUGAGUAACCUGCCCUUGACUUCGGGAUAACUUCAGGAAACUGGGGCUAAUACCGGAUAGGAAUCCUUGCUGCAUGGUGGGGGUUGGAAAGCUUCGGCGGUUUUGGGUGGACUCGCGGCUUAUCAGCUUGUUGGUGGGGUAGUGGCUUACCAAGGCUUUGACGGGUAGCCGGCCUGGGAGGGCGACCGGCCACAGUGGGACUGAGAUACGGCCCAGACUCCUACGGGAGGCAGCAGUGGGGAAUAUUGCACAAUGGGCGGAAGCCUGAUGCAGCAACGCCGCGUGCGGGAUGACGGCCUUCGGGUUGUAAACCGCGUUCAGCAGGGGCGAAGCUUGUGGUGACGGUACCUGCAGAAGAAGCACCGGCUAACUACGUG
RNAcentral lists this ribosomal RNA (464 nucleotides) under uncultured bacterium. Its description in RNAcentral is "partial 16S ribosomal RNA". It matches the Rfam family "Bacterial small subunit ribosomal RNA", at positions 29 to 507 of the family's 1533-position model. The record is from RNAcentral.